GGGUCCACACUGGGGGGAGUGCAGAAGAGGGUUUAUGUGUAUCCUGGUCAUUCUCACCUUGGGGGAAAUGCAAAUGAUACUAAUGGGCCACGAAGAGGUCAACAUCAUGGUCGGCAUCAUGUGAUUGUGAACCGACCCGCGUGUAGAUUUAAUCCACGCUGUGGAGGUUCUCUGCUUAGUUCAGACUGGGUGAUCACUGCUGCUCACUGUGACUGCUGGUUCCUAAGAACAGUUUUAAAUUCACACCCUGACUAUUCACAAAGGCAAGUAUGGAAGAUUGCUGAAAAACAUUAUUGUUGUGACAAUGGAAAAGAGCAUGACCUCCUGCUACUAAAACUUCAACCUGAAACCGUUCGCGGUCAGCGUGGACAUUUACCCACCAUUCCACUACCCCCACGAUCCUGUAAAGCACCAGAUCGUUACCAGAGAGUUCGUUUUUAUGGUCGGAUGGACGCAACUCUUGCUGCACCCGAUCCUAAACACAACUACAAGCAAAAAAUGAAUCCUUUCUCUGCAAACAGGCUUCGGUUUGGCAACAUCUCAGUUGUGGAGUGUUCGUUUGGCUCACUAAAUAAUUGCAACCCAGUAAGCAAUUGCACCUAUACCCCUGGUUCCUGUAUUUGUGUUCGAGAUCCACAUGUUGCAACAAAUCCAGGUGAUUCAGGAGGAAGCUAUGUCUGGCGUGGGCCAGGGGACCCACAGGAAUAUCUGUAUGGAGUGCAUAAUUCUGGCUCUGGUUAUCUUGAUGACAGUCCAUCACAGGCCAAGAAUAUCUGUUUCAAAAUGUACAGAGACUGGAUCUACAGUGUGACGCGUCUGUGACAGUGUGACAGCAGUGUGAUGUGUACUGCUGUGUGUGAAAAUAAAGAGAUCAUAGAUCUCCCUUAGAGCA
Molecule: long non-coding RNA, 892 nt
Filed under: Astyanax mexicanus (Mexican tetra)
Lineage: Eukaryota; Metazoa; Chordata; Actinopteri; Characiformes; Acestrorhamphidae
Description: lncRNA (ENSAMXG00005024373.1)
Source: RNAcentral